RNAcentral lists this ribosomal RNA (413 nucleotides) under uncultured bacterium. RNAcentral's name for it is "bacterial SSU rRNA". It matches the Rfam family "Bacterial small subunit ribosomal RNA", at positions 32 to 424 of the family's 1533-position model. The record is from RNAcentral.
AAUCAACGCUGGCGGCGUGCCUCAGACAUGCAAGUCGAACGCGAAAGUCCCCUUCGGGGGACAAGUAGAGUGGCGCACGGGUGAGUAACACGUAGGUAAUCUACCUUCGGAUGGGGAAUAACAACCGGAAACGGUUAGCUAAUACCGCAUAAUGCAGCGGCACCUAAUGGUGACAGUUGUUAAAGCGGGGGAUCGUAAGACCUCGCGUCUGAAGAGGAGCCUGCGGCGGAUUAGCUAGUUGGAAGGUAAUGGCUUACCAAGGCGACGAUCCGUAACCGGCCUGAGAGGGCGGUCGGUCACACUGACACUGACAUACGGGUCAGACUCCUACGGGAGGCAGCAGUCGGGAAUUUUGGGCAAUGGGCGCAAGCCUGACCCAGCAACGCCGCGUGAAGGAUGAAAUCCCUCGGGAU